UCCAAAGUCAAUUCCAAUCACACUGCCUGUCUCCAUGGCCACCAUGAAAUUCUCCAGGUGUCUGUCUCCAAUACCGAGGAGCCAGUGGCUGAUGCACAGCAGUGCAUGAGAGCUGGCAAAGUGGGAACGCAGUGCCAGGAAUGCCUCAGGGCUAGUGCUCAUCUUUAUAAAGGCCCGCCUAGGAGAGAAAAGCCAUGUAUCACCUCUGCUAUGCCACUAGGUUUAUGAAGUCACAAACAUACUUACUUUAAGAGAUCAGCAGACUAGACUCUAGAUAUUUCUUUACCACUUCCUGAAUGUAGACACAUAUACAAAACUCUAGGUAAGAUGAAGCCUUUUCUUACUGUCAGCCAUCUCAUCCUGAAUUUGAAAAGCUUCAGUGACAUGUCCCACAAGAGUCGGCACAUGUGCAGGUCGAUACACUCUGGCAGCAUCCUGAGAGAGAAUGGCAUUCAUGACCUCAAAUAGCUGCUCAAUGCGCUGGUCCUGCCGGAGGUCCUCACCACCUUUUACCAGGAAUGGGUAUUCCUUUUCAUCAUGGCCUCGAAUAACAAUGCGCUUUGGUUUCCUUAUGGAGCUCAUUACUUUUACCUUUAAACAGUAAGAGAUUUGUUGUUGUAGUGGG
Mastomys coucha (southern multimammate mouse) is the source of this 625-nucleotide long non-coding RNA. RefSeq lists it as uncharacterized. The transcript is spliced from 3 exons. The record is from RefSeq and is a predicted model, not a curated record. Lineage: Eukaryota; Metazoa; Chordata; Mammalia; Rodentia; Muridae.